GACGAACGCUGGCGGCGUGCCUAAUACAUGCAAGUUGAGCGCUGAAGGUUGGUACUUGUACCAACUGGAUGAGCAGCGAACGGGUGAGUAACGCGUGGGGAAUCUGCCUUUGAGCGGGGGACAACAUUUGGAAACGAAUGCUAAUACCGCAUAAAAACUUUAAACACAAGUUUUAAGUUUGAAAGAUGCAAUUGCAUCACUCAAAGAUGAUCCCGCGUUGUAUUAGCUAGUUGGUGAGGUAAAGGCUCACCAAGGCGAUGAUACAUAGCCGACCUGAGAGGGUGAUCGGCCACAUUGGGACUGAGACACGGCCCAAACUCCUACGGGAGGCAGCAGUAGGGAAUCUUCGGCAAUGGACGAAAGUCUGACCGAGCAACGCCGCGUGAGUGAAGAAGGGUUUCGGAUCGGAAAACUCUGUUGGUAGAGAAGAACGUUGGUGAGAGUGGAAAGCUCAUCAAGUGACGGUAACUACCCAGAAAGGGACGGCUAACUACGUG
RNAcentral lists this ribosomal RNA (497 nucleotides) under uncultured bacterium. RNAcentral describes it as "partial 16S ribosomal RNA". It matches the Rfam family "Bacterial small subunit ribosomal RNA", at positions 28 to 507 of the family's 1533-position model. The record is from RNAcentral.